RNAcentral lists this ribosomal RNA (256 nucleotides) under uncultured bacterium. RNAcentral describes it as "partial 16S ribosomal RNA". It matches the Rfam family "Bacterial small subunit ribosomal RNA", at positions 524 to 776 of the family's 1533-position model. The record is from RNAcentral.
GACGUAGGUGGCGAACGUUAUCCGGAAUCAUUGGGCGUAAAGGGUGCGUAGAUGGCAUGAUAAGUUAUUAGUGGGAAAUCGAGGCUCAACCUCGUGGAAGCUAGUAAUACUGUUUUGCUUGAGUACAGAAGAGGUUAACGGAACUCCAUGUGGAGCGGUAAAAUGCGUAGAUAUAUGGAAGAACACCAAUAACGGCGAAGGCAGUUAACUAUUCUGUUACUGACAUUGAGGCACGAAAGCAUGGGGAGCAAACAGG